AGGUCAUGGUGAGGAUACCUUCUCAGCAAUUCCUUAAAUCUCUCACAUAUAUCAUAAAUAGUCUCAAUAUCGAAUUGAACAAAAGAAGAGAUAUCAUUCCUCAACUU
This is a non-coding RNA of Gossypium raimondii (Peruvian cotton), 107 nucleotides long. NCBI's taxonomy places the organism in Eukaryota, Viridiplantae, Streptophyta, Magnoliopsida, Malvales, Malvaceae. The record is from Rfam.